CGGUGGGCGGAGCUUCAUUCAGUUACUGCAGGAAAUGUGGGAAAACCCGAAAACAAGAUGGCGGCGGCGAGUUAAUAGAAAAUAAUAAGUAUAAUUUCUGUAAUAUAUAAAUUAGUGAUGUAGAUAGUGAUCCUGAAGUAAACAUAUUUUUUUAUAUCGUAUAAUAAAGUUUCAAAAUAAUUUGAAAGCUGUUUAAUAGAGAAACGUGAUUUAAACAGCGUUAGCUCGCUAGCAUUUUUGCUAUUAAUGUAAGCAAAAGCACACAUUAAAUCUUGACAGUAAAUUACAGAUUUGUAUUUUUUUAUUUUCUUUUUUAAACCCAUAUAUUUGGGCAUACGUUUAUUCGAAUGCUUCAUUAGAGAUUCAUUUCCUGGUUCAUUUCCUGUUUGGACCGGAAGUAGAUUCUGCACAUGAGAAGAUGCAUGUGGCUCUGACGGAAGCUUCUGUUGAUCGAAAGGUGAAGGAGGCGCUUCCUGGAGCGGCGCAGACGCCUCUACAUAACCUGAAAUCGGGAGACCGGGUGAAGUGAAGCGGUGAAGUACUUCAGAAGAAAGAGCCGGAACACCAAACGGUGGCUGGGACCUUUCCAGGUGCUCCUGACAACGCAGACUGCUGUGAAUGUCACAGAGAGAGCCACGUGGAUUCACGCCAGCCAGUGCAAACGAGUGCCAGACCCGGAACAGGGGUUGAUGGGAGACGGGGAAAGUGAGAACACUUCACAUAGGAACUCUGGUGUCGCUGGACCUCGUGAGGUGGGAGAAGGGCGCCGUUUAGGUGCUUAAGUCGCACCUGCCCUUCAAGCACCAAUAACGUCAAGAAUAGGAAAGGUGUCACCAGACCAGAUCUAGAACAAACAGGAGACCCGCUCCGAUCCACCUGACGACACACAACCUGAGAAGGAUACGUUAAUUUAAGUAGUUAAGCGUUGAAUUAUGUUGUAACGAGUUUAGAAUAUUCACGAUUAUUGAAAACCCUUAUGGGAAAGUUUGUGUCUGAUGUUCCAUUUCUCUGUUUCACCCUAAACUGUUUAGCCAUGUUUUAUUUUUGCAGUUGUGUCUUAUUGAAUGAUCAAAUAUUACAAUGAAUAAAAUUUGACUCUGGAGUUUGUCCAUAAAGGACAAAAUGGAGGGAAAUGUAA
Molecule: long non-coding RNA, 1138 nt
Organism: Silurus meridionalis
Lineage: Eukaryota; Metazoa; Chordata; Actinopteri; Siluriformes; Siluridae
Exons: 2
Source: RefSeq, a predicted model, not a curated record